Molecule: non-coding RNA, 71 nt
Organism: Podarcis lilfordi (Lilford's wall lizard)
Lineage: Eukaryota; Metazoa; Chordata; Lepidosauria; Squamata; Lacertidae
Source: the annotation of a GenBank genome assembly
GGGCCACAGUUCAGUGGUAGACCAUCUGCCUUGUAUGCAGAAAGCCCCAGGUUUAAUCCUGGGCAUCUCCA